This 384-nucleotide ribosomal RNA is filed under the name uncultured bacterium. RNAcentral describes it as "bacterial SSU rRNA". It matches the Rfam family "Bacterial small subunit ribosomal RNA", at positions 30 to 406 of the family's 1533-position model. The record is from RNAcentral.
AGUGAACGCUGGCGGCAGGCCUAACACAUGCAAGUCGAGCGGCAGCACGGCAAUAGCAAUAUUGUGGGUGGCGAGCGGCGGACGGGUGAGGAAUGCAUCGGGAUCUACCCUGUCGUGGGGGACAACGUAGGGAAACUUACGCUAAUACCGCAUGAUCUGGAGACAGCAAAGCCGGGGACCCGCGAGGGCCUGGCGCGAUGGGAUGAGCCGAUGUCCGAUUAGCUAGUUGGCGGGGUAAAGGCCCACCAAGGCGACGAUCGGUAGCUGGUCUGAGAGGACGACCAGCCACACUGGAACUGAGACACGGUCCAGACUCCUACGGGAGGCAGCAGUGGGGAAUAUUGGACAAUGGGGGCAACCCUGAUCCAGCCAUGCCGCGUGGGU